Long non-coding RNA from Tripterygium wilfordii, 6205 nucleotides. RefSeq lists it as uncharacterized. The record is from RefSeq and is a predicted model, not a curated record. The transcript is spliced from 6 exons. NCBI's taxonomy places the organism in Eukaryota, Viridiplantae, Streptophyta, Magnoliopsida, Celastrales, Celastraceae.
GAAAAGUCUUUCAAAAAAUAUUAUCUCGUUAUAUGAAAAAGACAAAGCCUAAAUUGAUGCAGGCCCAGAUGAAGAAACCGAAGAAAAUUGCGCCUUCACUGCAAUAUCAUCUGGUGAUGCGCAAUGUUUACGAGAUCAUGCUGGCAAUUUAGGGAGAAGGAUUGCUUGAAACAACAGUACUGCAACCAAGCUGUGAAGAAUCGUGAGGAUCAACUAUCAGUGAAAAAAGAUUACUGAAGAUAAUGAUAAGAUUAGUCAGCUUCCUGACAACAUUCUUGCUGCCAUCUUAACCUCUCCCAAAAUAAGAGAAGCAGUACAGACUGGUGUACUCUCAACUAGAUGGAGGUAUGUAUGGACUGCUGCCCUUUAAAAUCCAGAACUUGAUGUGGAUAGCCUUUUGGAAAGAAAAUAUUCUGAUUUUGAUAAACGUUACAAUAACAUGCUGCAAAUUCAGUUAUCUCAUUCAAGAGAAUGCAAGCCUUUCUAGUUCUGUCAACUGGCUCUUUUUGUAUCUUAAUUAUUCUGACCACAAGAUUGAGAAGUUGAAUGUCUACUUCACUUUUUGCCGUGGUGAGUAGUGGAGUCAACUUGUUCAUUGGAUCAAUUUUGCAAUUUCAAGAGGUGAGUUGAGGAAGUGAACCUUUGCUUGUUAAAAGAUAAUUAUUUUGGUGCAACAGAUGACAGUUAUGCAUAUGGUUUUCCUUGAAGCUUGCUUAAAUUUUAUGGCACUAAAUCAUCUCUUAAGUGCCUGCAACCGGCAUACUGCAGUUGUGCUGCACAGCUUUUGAUUUCCAAUGUUUUAAGACUCGCAGUACCCUUGAUCUGAAGUGGGUGGUCAGGUAGAUUUGAAAUCCGAGAAUCAUAUACUGAGCUUGUUAUCAAAUUGUUCUCCUCCUCCAGUGGCUGAGCUUUUAUGAAUACUAUAAUAUAAGCUGUUUAAAGAUCAAACAUCCAUCAUGUAAGCAGUUGAAGUACUUGAAUGUUUAUGGUUGCUCUCUGAUUUGGAGGCACUGGCAAUUGAUGGCAUCGAGACAUUUGAAUACAAGGCCUUUGUGAUUAUCUUCUUGGUCAGAAAAGUCCAAAAAAUAAAAAUUCUAUGCAGUCAUGUUGUCCAUAGGAAACUCGGAGACAACGUGGUCUGGCCACUGUCCAGGUUUUCAGUUGAGCUUCCCCAGUUUGAGACUUUGUUGCUGAGCUGCAGCUGUUACUUGGAGUGAUCAUGUUGGAGAGAUAGCCCAUACAUCAUCAUUUCAAAUAUUUAUUAAUCUUAGAGGUUUCAACUUACGAACGAGCUCCUGUGAAUUGCAGCUGUGCUUCAGGCAUCUCCGGUUGUGGAAAGAUUAAAUUUGCAUGUAAGUUUUUCCUUCUGCCAUUUCAUGUUAUGGUAACAUAAAGAAACAGAGGAAAAAGGGGGACAAAAAAAGAAGAAAACAUCAGUUUCAAUAAUCUGUUGGUAGAUUUUAUUUUUGGCUUUCAUAUGAUGCUUACUUUAUCAUCAAUUGUUGGCCAGGACACCAUGCAAAUUGUACUAUCAUUAAGAAAAAUUCUUGAUUUCAUGUAUUUAUAAGGUCAUGAAAUAUACAUCCACGAGUGACGGAAGAUCGAAUUUCAUAUUUGUUCUGUUACUUCGCUUACAAUUUAAGCGUGUUAGACUUUCUGCAUCUUAGAUAAGUGUAAGCGAAACAUCGAUACAAGUCUAAAGUGAUACUCUUCCGGUUAUUUCCAAAGAUUUUCAUUCAGUUAAUGAACAAGAUAGAUACUUUGGAUCCUAGAUUACAUUUUUGACAGCAUGAAUGAUUAGCUAUAAAUAUUGAAAAUGCUCUUAGCUACAUCGUCUGAGAUUGCAGCAAAGUUUAUGUUGUGAGGAACCAUAAUUUUUUUAUGAUUCUGUGUCACGCAGCAUCACUUGAUGUUGAUAGGAAAAAAAAUGUAUCAUAUGUUUCGAAAAGGUUUCCUUACUUCUUACUAAACGAGGGCCAUUUGUGUUUCGUCCACUUAUGAAGAGCCUUCUUUUGCAUUGGUGAUUCAUUGAGAAUUUUUCUCUUGGAGAGUUUUUUCUCUCUCUUAUAUUGUUGGUUCUAGACUUCUCUUCGCUUUGCAAAAGCUUUUACCCAAGGAAGGGGAUAAUAUUUUAUGCUUGGUUCUACAAAAAAGUUAUAUGCACUACAAUGUAGUGUUGUUGAUAUGUAUGUCAGCUAAAUACCUAUAACUAUGUGGAAGAACCACGAGAAAUACUUCAAACUCCUAGGUGCUCCAGUGAUCACCUCAAAGAAGUUAUCAUAACCGGUACACUGGUCAUUUCGGCGAGAUUGAGAUUGUAAUUUAUCUUGUAAACAAUGCCGUUUCACUUGAUGAGAUGACAAUUGAUCCACACCGACAAUUCUAAGAGGGGAAUAGAAAAUGGACUUGUCUAGAAGCUUGUGCCAGGUGGUCUAUGAUUUGAAGGCAGAGCUUUUUUGAGCAUCUUGUUGUCGUAGCUGGUGCUUCUGUCAAACUUUUGAUCUUAUAAAAGUUUGUGUUGCCACCUGAAAUUUCAAUUACAAGUGAAAUGAGGGCAUGCAGUCUUUCAAGAUGUACAAUACCGGUUUUGCCACUUCAGAAUAGAAAGUUAUUUAUCUUAACUUUCACAUCCUAAACUGAUUUAAGGCCUAAUCCAAUGAAAUGUGGAGCAUGAAAUGUAAUAAACGGAUCCUAUUUGUCUUGCUAGCUACCUACACUGUCAGAUGCCACCCAGAGUUCCCCCAAACACUUCAGUAGGGUGUCAAACACUCUCAAAAGAUUCCCACAGAAGUGGUUAAGGGAACUCCAGGGAACAGCUGACGCUUUCUUUCUCUUUCCUCAAUUUCUUGGUUACUCGAUGCAACUCAAAGCUCUAUUUAUAGUGUAGUUUCAUGAUUCAUUCACCGAAUUCAAGGUGGACUUGGUGUUAAAGCACAAUAGUUGAUUAGAGAUUCCAAGAGUAUGUUGAACCUGGACAGAGUUGUGGAUCAAAUGAACGUUGAUAGUGAUACUAAGGCAAGUGGUCUCAAGUCUUUGCCAGCUUUCCAAGGGGAAAACAAUGGCAGCACAGACAAGAUUCUUGUUUGGAGUAGCUUGAUAAAAGAAAAGUGGAAUGAAACUCAACUAUUCAACGUAAACAUUAAAGGUAGUCGCAUACAACCUCUCAUCAGUUUUCUAGUACUCUCUAUCUUUCAUGUGGCAUGUAAUCCUGUCUAGGUUCAGUUCCUACCACUUGUACUCUUAUAUUCUCUCAUAUUGAGCAACGCUGCUUACUAAAAGAUGCAACUUUAGGAAAAGAGGAAUUUACCACACAGAAUAGGAUUAUCCAUCUAAUUUGUUGGGAUUCCAGUUAUCAUUUGAUUCUACUGACAAUUGCAAUCUUGAUGACUGGAUUACUUCUUCUUUCUAAUCAUCUUUUUCUUCUCAUCUUCUUCACUUACCAUGUAUCGUAUUGUAUUGUUUGACCCUAUUGUAGUACUUACGUAGGAAAUCAACAAAAAAUUUUGCAGGAUAGUUUCUGGUUUGUUCUGCCAUCCUGCCAAAAUCAUUCUGGCAGUCACAGAUUUCUUGGCUCCAAUCAUGUCUCAAUUAACAUUUGAUGCUUAUAUUUAAAUUUUAAAUGAAAUCUCUAAUGAGAUUGUUCUCAAGUCGAUGAUCCUAAUAUUUUACUUAUUGAGAUUAUUCUCCUAUUCAUAAGCUGGUCUGAUUGUUUGCUGAUAGAAGAGUGGAUGAUUGAUAUGCGCAUUUACGUAGGACAAACAAAUAGAAGAGUGCUCAUUACAUUCAGCGAUAAAAAAUUUAUAUUGUCAAUCUCAUUUUAAGAAUUUUAAUAACUUCUAGGAUGCCUUUUUAACUGCCUUCCAACAUGAAGACAAGUUAGUCUACUCCUAAUCAGCAAUAUCAUAAUCUCAUCGAAACCCCCUGACAUAGAGCUUCCAUCCGUAUUGUUUUCUUUGCUAUCUGCACCAGCACCAUUAACCAUAAAUUUUGCUGUAUCUGAGACUUUUUCAUUGAGAAUGUCACGGAGGAUCAAUUAUCGAAGCAAAACAGGAUUGCAGAAGAUGAUGAUUGGAUUAGCCAGCUUCCUGAAAACUUAAUCUAAACCAUCUUAACCUCUCCCAAAAUAUGAGAAGCAGUGCAGACUAGUGUAACUCUCAACUGGAUGGAGGUAUGUUUAGACUGCUUCUGUUUCAAGCCUUGAACUUGAUGGGAAUACCCUCUUGGAAGGAAAAAAAAAGACCAGUCUGAUUUUGACUAACAUUGCAAAUCUAAGUGGGAAAUCCAGUUAAUCUUAACUAAGAGAAUGCAAGCUUUUUUGAAUUCUCUCAAUCAUCUCCUUUUAUAUCUAAAUAACUUAGACCAUAAAAUUAAGAAGUUUAAGGUUUCCUUCAGUUUUUUUGUCCCGGCGACGGCAGCGAGUAUCACAGUCAUCUUGAUCUUACGUGGGUCAAUUUGAAAUCCGAUAAUCAUGAGCAGAACUUUUAUCUAACUGUUGUAUUCUUCGAUGGUUGAGCUUUUAUGAAUGCUCAAAUAUAGGCCAUUUGAAGGUCAAUAAUCGAUCCUGUUAACCGUUGAAGUACUUGAAUGGCUAUGGUUGUCCUGAAUUGGAGGCAUUAGAAAUUGGUAGCAUUGACAUUGAGACAUUUGAAUACAAGGGAAUUGUUAUGAACUUAUUGUUCAGUGAGUCUCACAACUAAAAAGUCUAUUCAUUCACGUUGUUCAUUGGAAACACGGAGAGGGUGUGGUUUCCUGCUGAGCAUCCGUAGCUUGAGACUUUGUUGCUAAGCUGCAGCUGGUACAUGGAGGCUGGGGUCGUGCUGGAGAGGUUACCCAUAUUUCAUCAUCGCAAACCAUUAUCAAUUUUGGAGAUAGCCAUAUGUUGAUGCGAGGUUCUGCAGAUAGCAACGGUGUUUAAAACAUCUCUAUUUUUCUCAAAAAUUAGAUUUGCAUGUAAGCUUUUCCUCUUCCUAUUUCAUACUGUGGUAACAUUAAGGGACACAGAAAAAAUUCAACUGUUCUUUCAUAUUGAUUAACUCUGAUACUUCGCAUCCUAAAUUCAUGAGUAAAAUAGAUUCUGCUACCGCAGCAAAAGCUUGCGUAAUGUGAAGAACUAAAAAUUUGUGAUGAUACCUUGAUGCGCAGCGUUGCCUGAUGUUGAUAGGCAAGAAUGUAUCAAAAGUUUUCUCGAGCUUUUAGCCUAAAGUUAUUAUGUUGCAGAUUCUAGCUUUGCUUUUUCUUGCCUUGCACGAGCUCUUAUGCUAGGACAAGUCUAAUAGUUUCUGUUUGUUGCUGCAAAAACGGAUAGACUGCACUGCAAGUGUUGUUGAUCACUUGAUAUGUGAAGGAAGAACCACAAGAAAUACUCCGGUCACCCGGGUGCCCCAAUGAUCCCUCAAAGAAGUUGUGAUAACUGGAAGAUGGGGUCGUAUCAGUGAGAUUGGGAUCGCAAUUAUCUGCUCAACAAUGCAGUGGCACUUGACAAGGAUGACAAUUGUUCCACAUCCAAGAUACUAUGAGGGAAAUGGAAACUGGAGUGUUUUAGAACCUUGUGGCAGAUGGUCUACAAUUGAAAGGCAGAGAGUCCUCGAGCAUCUUAUUGUAGAAGGCUAGAAGCUGUUCCUACAGCCCAAUUGUUUAGAGGUUUAACCUUCCGAAGGAAUUUGCAGUUACAAGUGUAAUAAGGGUACUUAAUGAUGUAAAAGAGGCGAGACAAAAUUAAGUGCUUAAUUGCUAGUAUAAGCCAAGAUUUUGAGUCGUCUUUGCUUAUACAAGAACUCAUUGAUGCCUAUUUUCAUGACAAGAAAAGUAAAGUAUGAAAGGGAAAGGUUGGACAGAGAGAGAACAAAGUUAAAAAAAAAAAGGCAGAAUGGAAUAUAACCAGUGAGUUACUAUUACUAGAAAUCUCAAUCUAGCACAUAGUUGAGUGUAGGUUCAUGUCCAAUUGCCUUAUCCAGUGAACCUUUUUGGGGCACUGAUAUGAAGUAGCAGCCAACAGGGAUAUCAUAAGUAGGGUAGGACUUGAAAUUAAGCAACCAAAGAAGUAGGCUGCAGAGACUAUAGUGUAGUGGUGCAUAUCAGGUGGCCCCUAGAGUUCCCUUGAACACUUCAACAGGAACACAGUUCCUGCUGAAGUGUUCAAGGGAACUGCGGGUGUCAUUUGAUACUUAUUGUCUAGUGAAGUGAUGCAUACAUAUGUAUAUAUAUC